This 425-nucleotide ribosomal RNA is filed under the name uncultured bacterium. Its description in RNAcentral is "partial 16S ribosomal RNA". It matches the Rfam family "Bacterial small subunit ribosomal RNA", at positions 354 to 796 of the family's 1533-position model. The record is from RNAcentral.
GUGGGGAAUCUUGCGCAAUGGGCGAAAGCCUGACGCAGUCAUGCCGCGUGAAUGAUGAAGGUCUUAGGAUUGUAAAAUUCUUUCACCGGGGACGAUAAUGACGGUACCCGGAGAAGAAGCUCCGGCUAACUUCGUGCCAGCAGCCGCGGUAAUACGAAGGGGGGUAGCGUUGCUCGGAAUUACUGGGCGUAAAGGGCGCGUAGGCGGACAGCUUAGUCAGAGGUGAAAGCCCAGGGCUCAACCUUGGAAUUGCCUUUGAUACUGGCUGUCUUGAGUUUGGGAGAGGUGAGUGGAACUCCGAGUGUAGAGGUGAAAUUCGUAGAUAUUCGGAAGAACACCAGUGGCGAAGGCGACUCACUGGCCCAAUACUGACGCUGAGGCGCGAAAGCGUGGGGAGCAAACAGGAUUAGAAACCCUAGUAGUCC